AGCAAUACGGGAGUGGCGCACGGGUGAGUAACACGUGGGAAUAUGCCCAGCAGUGGGGGAUAACCGAGGGAAACUUCGGUUAAUACCGCAUACGCCCCUAGGGGGAAAGAUUUAUCGCUGUUGGAUUAGCCCGCGUCCGAUUAGCUAGUUGGUGUGGUAACGGCGCACCAAGGCGACGAUCGGUAGCUGGUCUGAGAGGAUGAUCAGCCACACUGGGACUGAGACACGGCCCAGACUCCUACGGGAGGCAGCAGUGGGGAAUAUUGGACAAUGGGGGCAACCCUGAUCCAGCCAUGCCGCGUGAGUGAAGAAGGCCCUAGGGUUGUAAAGCUCUUUCGGCGGGGACGAUGAUGACGGUACCCGCAGAAGAAGCCCCGGCUAACUCCGUGCCAGCAGCCGCGGUAAUACGGAGGGGGCUAGCGUUGUUCGGAAUUACUGGGCGUAAAGCGCGCGCAGGCGGCUAUUCUAG
RNAcentral lists this ribosomal RNA (469 nucleotides) under uncultured Magnetospirillum sp. Its description in RNAcentral is "bacterial SSU rRNA". It matches the Rfam family "Bacterial small subunit ribosomal RNA", at positions 83 to 587 of the family's 1533-position model. Lineage: Bacteria; Pseudomonadati; Pseudomonadota; Alphaproteobacteria; Rhodospirillales; Rhodospirillaceae. The record is from RNAcentral.